AUUGAACGCUGGCAGCAUGCCUUACACGUGCAAGUCGAACGGCAGCACGGGUGCUUGCACCUGGUGGCGAGUGGCGAACGGGUGAGUAAUACAUCGGAACGUACCUUAUCGUGGGGGAUAACGCAGCGAAAGCUGUGCUAAUACCGCAUACGCCCUGAGGGGGAAAGCGGGGGAUCGAAAGACCUCGCGCGAUUAGAGCGGCCGAUGCCUGAUUAGCUUGUUGGUGGGGUAAAAGCCCACCAAGGCGACGAUCAGUAGCUGGUCUGAGAGGACGAUCAGCCACACUGGGACUGAGACACGGCCCAGACUCCUACGGGAGGCAGCAGUGGGGAAUUUUGGACAAUGGGGGCAACCCUGAUCCAGCAAUGCCGCGUGAGUGAAGAAGGCCUUUGGGUUGUAAAGCUCUUUUGUCAGGGAAGAAACACCGGCUCUAACACAGUCCGGGAAUGACGGUACCUGAAGAAUAAGUACCGGCUAACUACGUGCCAGCCGCCGCCGUAA
RNAcentral lists this ribosomal RNA (501 nucleotides) under uncultured bacterium. RNAcentral's name for it is "partial 16S ribosomal RNA". It matches the Rfam family "Bacterial small subunit ribosomal RNA", at positions 30 to 523 of the family's 1533-position model. The record is from RNAcentral.